UUUUACUAUUGUGCUCAAUUAGGCUACUUGUGUUAUGCUAAAGAGGUCUAUAAAAUCCAUGCGCUUCACGCGCCGCCCUCUCCCCGGCAAGCUCGGAAACGGCGAUGCCGCCCCCAUGAAUCUGCUUAUCGCGCGUCCCUCCCCUUGCACCCUCGUCAAACUGUAAAACAGUAUGUCCGAUCAGGCCAAUAUCUGUCUGUCUGUCUCUAAACAUUAUGAACACUUUUGUUCUUAUCUGAAGUGUUACAUAACUCCAUUUUUUCCAUGUUGUUUUCAGAUGCGCACCCUAGCAGGCAACUGCGACUGAUGCGCAUUGCUGAGCACCGAGGUGGCCAUUGUGGACUUCAACCCGUGGUGGUUUGAGGCCCGCUGCGUUCACGCCGCUGGGAACAUUUACUGGAGUUCUGCAUCCUCAGCGGGACGCAAAUAACCCAGCUGG
This 439-nucleotide long non-coding RNA is filed under the name Zea mays. RNAcentral's name for it is "long non-coding RNA (ZMAY_LNC001346)". The record is from RNAcentral. Lineage: Eukaryota; Viridiplantae; Streptophyta; Magnoliopsida; Poales; Poaceae.